This 425-nucleotide ribosomal RNA is filed under the name uncultured bacterium. RNAcentral describes it as "bacterial SSU rRNA". It matches the Rfam family "Bacterial small subunit ribosomal RNA", at positions 356 to 773 of the family's 1533-position model. The record is from RNAcentral.
GGGGAAUAUUGGACAAUGGGCGAAAGCCUGAUCCAGCCAUGCCGCGUGUGUGAAGAAGGUCUUCGGAUUGUAAAGCACUUUAAGUUGGGAGGAAGAGCAGUUACCUAAUACGUGAUUGUUUUGACGUUACCGACAGAAUAAGCACCGGCUAACUCUGUGCCAGCAGCCGCGGUAAUACAGAGGGUGCAAGCGUUAAUCGGAAUUACUGGGCGUAAAGCGCGCGUAGGUGGUUAGUUAAGUUGGAUGUGAAAUCCCCGGGCUCAACCUGGGAACUGCAUUCAAAACUGACUGACUAGAGUAUGGUAGAGGGUGGUGGAAUUUCCUGUGUAGCGGUGAGAUGCGUAGAUAUAGGAAGGAACACCAGUGGCGAAGGCGACUUUCUGGACGACAACUGACGCUGAGGCGCGAAAGCGUGGGGAGCAAAC